RNAcentral lists this ribosomal RNA (810 nucleotides) under uncultured euryarchaeote. RNAcentral describes it as "bacterial SSU rRNA". It matches the Rfam family "Archaeal small subunit ribosomal RNA", at positions 49 to 859 of the family's 1478-position model. Lineage: Archaea; Methanobacteriati; Methanobacteriota. The record is from RNAcentral.
GCAUGCUAGUUGCACGAGUUUAGACUCGUAGCAGAUAGCUCAGUAACACGUGGCCAAACUACCCUAUGGAUCCGGACAACCUCGGGAAACUGAGGCCAAUCCGGAAUACGGCUCUCAGCCUGGAAGUGGCGAGAGUCAGAAACGCUCCGGCGCCAUAGGAUGUGGCUGCGGCCGAUUAGGUAGACGGUGGGGUAACGGCCCACCGUGCCCAUAAUCGGUACGGGUUGUGAGAGCAAGAGCCCGGAGACGGUAUCUGAGACAAGAUACCGGGCCCUACGGGGCGCAGCAGGCGCGAAACCUUUACACUGCACGAAAGUGCGAUAAGGGGACUCCAAGUGCGAGGGCAUAUAGUCCUCGCUUUUCACUACCGUAAGGUGGUAGUAGAAUAAGUGCUGGGCAAGACCGGUGCCAGCCGCCGCGGUAAUACCGGCAGCACGAGUGAUGACCGCUCUUAUUGGGCCUAAAGCGUCCGUAGCUGGCCACGCAAGUCUAUCGGGAAAUCCGCGCGCUCAACGCGCGGGCGUCCGGUGGAAACUGUGUGGCUUGGGACCGGAAGAUCCAGAGGGUACGUCUGGGGUAGGAGUGAAAUCCCGUAAUCCUGGACGGACCACCGGUGGCGAAAGCGCUCUGGAAAGACGGAUCCGACGGUGAGGGACGAAAGCUCGGGUCACGAACCGGAUUAGAUACCCGGGUAGUCCGAGCUGUAAACGAUGUCUGCUAGGUGUGCCACAGGCUACGAGCCUGUGGUGUGCCGUAGGGAAGCCGUGAAGCAGACCGCCUGGGAAGUACGUCCGCAAGGAUGAAACUUAA